This 73-nucleotide transfer RNA is filed under the name Tursiops truncatus (common bottlenose dolphin). RNAcentral describes it as "tRNA-Arg (TCT) (tRNA-Arg-TCT-19-1)". It matches the Rfam family "tRNA". From Rfam's summary of the family: Transfer RNA (tRNA) molecules are approximately 80 nucleotides in length. Their secondary structure includes four short double-helical elements and three loops (D, anti-codon, and T loops). Further hydrogen bonds mediate the characteristic L-shaped molecular structure. tRNAs have two regions of fundamental functional importance: the anti-codon, which is responsible for specific mRNA codon recognition, and the 3' end, to which the tRNAs corresponding amino acid is attached (by aminoacyl-tRNA synthetases). tRNAs cope with the degeneracy of the genetic code in two manners: having more than one tRNA (with a specific anti-codon) for a particular amino acid; and 'wobble' base-pairing, i.e. permitting non-standard base-pairing at the 3rd anti-codon position. The record is from RNAcentral. Lineage: Eukaryota; Metazoa; Chordata; Mammalia; Artiodactyla; Delphinidae.
UCCCUGGUGGUCCAGUGGUUAGGACUCUGCACUUCUAUUGCAAGGGGCACAGGUUCCAUCCCUGAUCGGGGAA